CCAGCAGCCGCGGUAAUUCCAGCUCCAAUAGCGUAUAUUAAAGUUGUUGCAGUUAAAAAGCUCGUAGUUGGAUUUUGGUCGAGCCCUGCGGUCCGCCUCACAGCGGUACUGCUAGGGUUCUUCCUUCUUCUCGCUGAACUUCGGUGCGCUUAGUUGUGUGCUGGAGCUAGGCGGGACUUUUACUGUGAGAAAAUUAGAGUGUUCAAAGCAGGCGUUUGCUUGAAUAUUACAGCAUGGAAUAAUGGAAUAGGAUCACGAUCUUAUUUUGUUGGUUUCUAGGAUCGAGAUAAUGAUUAAUAGGGACAGUUGGGGGCAUUAAUAUUUAGAAGUCAGAGGUGAAAUUCUUGGAUUUUCUGAAGAUUAACUUCUGC
Molecule: ribosomal RNA, 371 nt
Filed under: uncultured eukaryote
Lineage: Eukaryota
Description: SSU rRNA
Rfam family: Eukaryotic small subunit ribosomal RNA
Source: RNAcentral